Molecule: long non-coding RNA, 4127 nt
Organism: Bradysia coprophila
Lineage: Eukaryota; Metazoa; Arthropoda; Insecta; Diptera; Sciaridae
Source: RefSeq, a predicted model, not a curated record
UGUGUAAAAAUGAAAUGAACAAACUGUAUUCGAUCCAAGCAACAUUAACAUUUCAUUUCAACACUAGUGACGAAAAAGAGCAUCUAAUUAAAGUGAUUGAGUUUGUAUGAGUUAAUUGCAGCACUAGUGUCGAAAUGAACCACAUUUCGAUAUUAGGAUGCUACACGAACAGUAGACACGUUUCGUAACCGAAUUACAGAAACAGAACUUUUUUUCUGUUAAUUUUUUCUAACUAAUAAAAUGUAAAAUCACCACAACUGAAUGAAAACAAGGAAACAAAAAAAAAUUUUAAAAGGAAACCCAUUUUUUAAAGUGCUAUUUUUGUAACAUUUAACAACAAAAUUAAUGGAUCAUUAACACAAUGCAACAAACUAUAUUUACUUAUCUGUAAAACAGUUUCUAUUCUAAAUGAAAGAAGAGGAGAACAACACUAAAAACUAAAAAAAAUAUUUUUAAAUCAAAUGAAAAGAGAAAUUUUCAUUUGUUUUUUAUUGCAUUUGAUAUUUGACUUAAAGUUAAGUUAAGAGAAGAAACGUUUUUGUAUACAACUUAAUCGUAAGUGAAAAUCACUAAAAUAGGCCAAGAGACCAUGUGCACAUCAGUCACUCAUGAGGCCAUGGCUUAUUACCAAUGGCCACAUCCAAUCAAAAGUUUCCAAUCAAAAGUUUCCAAUCAAAAGACCACGAGAAAAUGACGGAUUGUUGAUGCUUUGUCUGAUGACAAUUCGGUAGAUAAAAUGUCUAUUUUCUCCUCAGGGCACGAGAAAAUGACGGCUUGUGAAGCUUUAUCUGAUGACAGUUCGGGAGAUGAUUUGUGUAUUUUCUCAUCACUGGUUUUGACAGGGUAGAAAAUAAAUAUUUUCUUCCCCGCACUGUCACCUUAGUUUUUAAUUGAAAUUUUCGUGGAGAAAAACGGCUAAUCACACCCCGCACAACUGAAAAACGUUGUGCUCACCUCUGGAAGAAAAUAAGAAAUUCCAACUCGAGCGAUUCGCUCUUGUUGGAAUUUUCUAACUUCUUCGCUCAGUGAACAAAAAUAAUCUUUGAACGAUACGGCGAUAUGCCUAGUAUGAAAGGUCUGUCGUUCCAGAAAUGUCAAAUGCAACUUAGGCAUGAAGCGUAUAACACUAAAAGUCGCUAAAGCCAAUUCGUGUGGCACUAAUACCUUCAUUUUGACAACAACUUUCUCUACAAUGUAGACUGACUGAGUCAUACACAAGGUUUGAUCUCGUUUGAGUCCUUCUCUAGCGUUCCAAAAAGGAAAUUUCCAGCAAAACAAACAUUUAUCGUCCUUUUAAAUAAAGCUGCAUAGGUUUUCGAAGUAUGGUUACCUUUUCAGGGACUGACAUGCACACGGGCUCUCGCUCUAUAAGACGUAAUUUAUUUUUACCAUGGCGCUUUAUGUGUUAAGGUGGAAAUGAUUAGUCAUUAAAAUGGUCGCAGUGCCAAAAUCGAGAAGGUGGGAACUCGGCAAAUAAGUUGUCACUACGGGUCUAUAAUCACAGCGAAUUUUAAACGGUGUUGCUGUGUAGAACACUGUUAUUUUGCUGGUCAAUAAUUCGGUGAAUUUCUACCCCCUCGACCAAAAUCAAUUUCAUAUUAACAGAACAUGAAAUCUAACAACAAAUUCACUGUCGCGAACUGCAGCUUAGCCAAAAUCUGAUAUGUGGAGACAACAAUUUAGAAUUUUAAUUCUCCAUUACUUUCAGUUGGGGAUGGCUUAGGGUUGUAAUCCAUCCAGCUCUGUAACCCAAUAUUUAUUAAAUGAAAGGACGAUGUCGCUGUUGUUAAAUCAACAUAUUCCCAGACAUUUUCUUUGAUUCAUAUCCUAAAUUAGUAGUCGUGAUGGUAAGCAAACUAUAUUACUCUUGAUUGGCGAAGGUGCAUAGCUGUUUUCUUGCUGGUGGUUGUGCAAGAAUGUAUUGAGACGUGAUAUCGAAAUGCAAUUAAGCUGCAAACAUAUAAGACUUAUGCCGGCUGAGUCUUCUAAAAAGCAGGAAAAUUUAGCGACAUGGACUGUGAUGUCUAAACCAGGCCUAUUUUCAGGAUUGUUUUUUUUUCGAGAAUUUUCAGAAAUUCCAGAAUGUUCAAGAAUUUAAGGAAUUUUCAAGAAUGGUAGGAAUCUUUUGGAACUUCACGAAUUUCCCAGAAUUUAUAGAAUUUUCAAGAAAUAAUGUCAAGAAAAUAGGCCCUGCCAAACACUACAUCGGAUGGACAUUCAGACGAAAUUUGUGUCCAUUGUAAUGUUAUACCUACUGUACAUACGUACGAUUCGAAACUGGUGUCGAUUCGUUUAAAAUUGUUUUUAGCAUUUUUGUAAAUAAUUCACGCCGUAAGUGUGGUCGAAAUUCAAAAUGGAAAGUGCAGAGGUCUUUUUAACGUAGCGCCAUUUUCAUAUAGAGAAGCGUUGAAACGAAUUUUUUGGUUCACUUUUUCAUCGAAUCGUUCACUUAAAAUUCAAAUUUUAGGCACACUUACGGCGUGAAUUAUGAACAGCAAGUCAAAGCAAAACCGAAAAUUCAAUGAUUGCGUUGAUUUUACUCAACGAUUUAUUUUUCCUUAUUUCUUGAAUUUUAAUUUGUAAUUCUAACACCACGCUGGAAAACAGAUAAUUAACACAAACCUUAUAUACAUUUAGCAGACAUAUAACACAGACCAGAUUAGAGAUCUGAUUUGAUCUGAUUAGGUGGCUCUCGAGGAGAGAAUUUACAUUUAAAAAAAUGGUUCAAAUAAAAAAGGAACUAAAAAAAUUAGUAGGAGGAAAAAGCCAAACACCAGGAGCGUAUGUGCUUUUAUAGUUGAACAAAGUUAAAAUUUAGGAUUCAAGUAAAUGUUGAAUUUAGGCCAAGGAAACUGUUUUUUGUUUGUUCUAGAAACUUAAAUUGAAUAUGAAAGGGAGAGAAAACCGAUUGUAUUGCACAGAUCAUUUUAAUUGACAUAAAUGGUCUGUUGAAUGCGUUGUCUAGUGUGUGAAAGAAGAAACAGUCAUUCGGGGCAUUGGUAUGUACACCAUUUGAAACGGAACCAAUGUUUCUUGAUUUCGAUCGGAUUUUCAGUAUUAAUCGUCUAUAAACAAUUCUAAUCUUGAAAAUCGACAGAUGAUUCAUACCGGAACAUUCAGAAUUUCCGUCUUCUGAUUCUUCGAAAGUUUCAUAAGUCGUGUCUAACCUUAUACAGUUAGCAAGCAUAUCAACGAAUAAUAAUCGAAUCUAUUACUUCUUUCAAUCGUCAAUCGUUUUAAAUAAACUGCUUGCUGAAUCUUUUACUUCAUUAGUUUUACAACGUUUUCCACUCAUUGCUAAUUUGUGUCGUUUCUGUCGAUAGCAGAUGACAUAGUCGUAUGUCAAAUUUAAACGUUCAUUGAUCGUUGUCAAUGUCGUUUGAGCUGUCAAAUUCAUUGACAUUUUCAUCCAACUAACCUCAAAGUUCGAAAAAUUAUACGAAAUUUAUAUUUUUUGUGAGGUUAUCUGAAUGAAGUAGACACUGAUUUUACAAGUAUUGGUGAAGAAACAGCUAUUUGACAAUAAUAUAUUUUCGUCCAGAUGUUUUCCUAACACACUAGAUACUGCUCUAGCACUAGCUGCAUAUAGCGACGUGAAGGAGACCUAAUUUAAAUGUUUCUUUAGUUUUUCUUGUCAAUAUUGACAAUAUAACAAAAAUCUAUUUUGAUUUAGGUCUCUUUCGCGCUGCUAUUUGUAGCUACAGAAACAGACGCAAGGAUUUUUCUAUUCGAUUUUCUUUCAGUAGUCAAUAAUGAGAAGAGCUAUAAAGAUGGAUUAGGAAAAUAGAGAGAAAAGAGAAUAAAAUUUUAUUUGAACAACAAUGCAAAAAGCAAAAUUCAACUAAAAAACAAAACGUCAACACAAAUAGAAAGGCGAUACCCCCCUUAAUUAUUAUUAUUAUUAAAACAGAGGAAAAUGAAGAUGAACCCAUAUGAUAAUUAAUUAGCUUUGUAAAAUUUGUGCGAUAUAAUUAUUAUUAUAAAAGAUUUAAAAAAACAAACAAAACAAAAUAUGACGACAAACUGAGAUGGAAACAAAUGAACGUUGUAUUUAAGAAGCUUUUUUGUGUUACAACCUUUUAUAAAAAUAAUACAAACAUUAUUAUUAUGAGGAACAAUAAUGAAAA